AGUGCGAAGCGGUGGAAACGCAGCGGAGCGCCUUCACACGGCGGGGGUCCCAGGUUCGAAACCUGGUGUGCCCA
This 74-nucleotide transfer RNA is filed under the name Myxococcaceae bacterium. RNAcentral describes it as "tRNA-Val". Lineage: Bacteria; Pseudomonadati; Myxococcota; Myxococcia; Myxococcales; Myxococcaceae. The record is from RNAcentral.